CGUUGAAACACUAGUCCCCGUACGAUCACCGAAGUUAAGCAACGCCUAACCUGGUCAGUACCUGGAUGGGUGACUGCUUGGGAAUAUCAGGUGCUAUAA
Molecule: non-coding RNA, 99 nt
Organism: Acanthosepion pharaonis
Lineage: Eukaryota; Metazoa; Mollusca; Cephalopoda; Sepiida; Sepiidae
Source: the annotation of a GenBank genome assembly